UCAGACGGUCGGGCGGCCGCCGGCACCCGCAAGGGUGUGGGAGGAAAGUCCGGGCUCCACGGGAACACGGUGCCGGGUAACACCCGGCGGGGGCGACCCCAGGGACAGUGCCACAGAAAGCAAACCGCCCCUUCGUCUGGAUUUCGAUCCAGGACCAAGGGGUAAGGGUGAAAGGGUGCGGUAAGAGCGCACCGCGAGACCGGUAACGGGAUCGGCACGGUAAACCCCACCGGGAGCAAGACCGAAUAGGGAUGACCGGCUGACUCGAAAGAGGGCAGCAGACGCGUUCCCGCGUCGUCGUCCGGGUAGGUCGCGCGAGGCGGUCGGCAACGACCGUCCCAGAUGAAUGGCCGUCGCCCCGGGCUCGUCCCGGGGGACAGAACCCGGCUUACAGACCGUCUGAACCU
RNAcentral lists this RNase P RNA (407 nucleotides) under Thalassobaculum litoreum DSM 18839. RNAcentral's name for it is "Bacterial RNase P class A". It matches the Rfam family "Bacterial RNase P class A". Rfam says of the family: Ribonuclease P (RNase P) is a ubiquitous endoribonuclease, found in archaea, bacteria and eukarya as well as chloroplasts and mitochondria. Lineage: Bacteria; Pseudomonadati; Pseudomonadota; Alphaproteobacteria; Rhodospirillales; Thalassobaculaceae. The record is from Rfam by way of RNAcentral.